CCCUUAGAUGUCCGGGGCUGCACGCGCGCUACACUGAAGGAAUCAGCGUGCUAAAACCAUUGUCGAAAGGCAUUGGUAAACCCACUAAAAUCCUACGUGAUUGGGAUCGGGAAUUGCAAUUAUUUCCCUUGAACGAGGAAUUCCCAGUAAGUGUGGGUCAUAAGCUCGCGUUGAUUACGUCCCUGCCCUUUGUACACACCGCCCGUCGCUGCCCGGGACUGAGCCGUUUCGAGAAAAGCGGGGACUGCUGCUGUCGGGGCUUUCGGGCCUUGGCUUCGGUGGAAACCGCUUUAAUCGCAGUGGCUUGAACCGGGCAAAAGUCGUAACA
Molecule: ribosomal RNA, 328 nt
Filed under: uncultured eukaryote
Lineage: Eukaryota
Description: partial 18S ribosomal RNA
Rfam family: Eukaryotic small subunit ribosomal RNA
Source: RNAcentral